This 1496-nucleotide ribosomal RNA is filed under the name metagenome. RNAcentral's name for it is "bacterial SSU rRNA". It matches the Rfam family "Bacterial small subunit ribosomal RNA". The record is from RNAcentral.
AGAGUUUGAUCCUGGCUCAGAAUGAACGCUGGCGGCGUGCUUAACACAUGCAAGUCGAACGAGAAAACCCUUCGGGGUGAGUAAAGUGGCAGACGGGUGCGUAACAUGUAGGAAUCUACCCUUUUGUGGAGAAUACCCUCGAGAAAUCGAGGCUAAUACUGCAUAAGUCCCCUCGGGGAGAAAGACGGCCUCUUGCCGUCGCUGAAGGAUGAGCCUGCGGACUAUUAGCUAGUUGGUAAGGUAAAGGCUUACCAAGGCUGUGAUGGUUAACCGGCCUGAGAGGGCGGUCGGUCACAUUGGAACUGCGACACGGUCCAGACUCCUACGGGAGGCAGCAGUGGGGAAUAUUGCACAAUGGGCGAAAGCCUGAUGCAGCGACGCCGCGUGGAGGAUGACGGCCUUCGGGUUGUAAACUCCUGUUAAGUGGGAAGAAUGCCUUGUAGUUAAUGGCUGCAAGGGGUGACGGUACCACUAGAGAAAGCUCCGGCUAACUUCGUGCCAGCAGCCGCGGUAAUACGAAGGGAGCUAGCGUUAUUCGGAAUUACUGGGUGUAAAGGGCGUGUAGGCGGUCGAUUAAGUCAGCUGUUAAAUUUCUUGGCUCAACCAAGGAUGUGCAGUUGAUACUGGUUGACUAGAGGAUAAGAGAGAGAAGUGGAAUUCUCGGAGUAGCGGUAAAAUGCGUAGAUCUCGAGAGGAACACCAGUUGCGAAGGCGGCUUCUUGGCUUAUUUCUGACGCUAAAGCGCGAAAGCGUGGGGAGCAAACAGGAUUAGAUACCCUGGUAGUCCACGCCGUAAACGAUGAUCACUAGAUGUGGGUUUUGUUUAUCGAGAUCUGCAUCGAAGCUAACGCGUUAAGUGAUCCACCUGGGGAGUACGGUCGCAAGAUUAAAACUCAAAGGAAUUGACGGGGGUCCGCACAAGCGGUGGAACAUGUGGUUUAAUUCGACACUACGCGAGAAACCUUACCUAGGCUUGACAUGUAUCCGCUACCCAUAGAAAUAUGGGGUUUUAAGUUUACUUAAACGGUUACACAGGUGCUGCAUGGCUGUCGUCAGCUCGUGUCGUGAAAUGUCUGGUUAAGUCCUUUAACGAGCGCAACCCUUACCGUCAGUUGCUACCCUUUAUUGGGGCACUCUGGCGGGACUGCCUAGGAAACUAGGAGGAAGGUGGGGAUGACGUCAAGUCCGCAUGGCCCUUAUGUCUAGGGCUACACACGUGUUACAAUGGCUAAAACAAAGGGGAACGAACCUGCGAAGGUGAGUAAAUCCCAGAAAAUUAGUCUAAGUUCGGAUUGGAGUCUGAAAUUCGACUCCAUGAAGUUGAAAUCGCUAGUAAUCGCGUAUCAGAACGACGCGGUGAAUACGUUCUCGGAUCUUGUACACACCGCCCGUCACACCACGAAAGUCGUUUGCACCCGAAAUUGCCUUAACUAACUCGUAAGAGAGGUGGGUAAUGAAGGUGUGGAUGGUGAUUGGGGUGAAGUCGAAACAAGGUA